Brienomyrus brachyistius is the source of this 2268-nucleotide long non-coding RNA. RefSeq lists it as uncharacterized. NCBI's taxonomy places the organism in Eukaryota, Metazoa, Chordata, Actinopteri, Osteoglossiformes, Mormyridae. The record is from RefSeq and is a predicted model, not a curated record. The transcript is spliced from 2 exons.
CAGACAGACAGCGGCGGCGGCGGCGGCAGCAGGAUCGGAAUCCAGGAAGGGAUCCGGAAUUGUUCCAAGUCACUGUGGCAAGUAUCGCUGCAGGGUACAAGAUGAAGUAGCUUUUUAAAGUUUCGGUGCUUAAAGCUGACUAGAGGAUGCAGGCACUUGCUGUGAUUCUGAAAUAAGAACAAUGGCAGGAAUUCUAUAAAAAUGGUGGAGGAUGGUGAGGAAUGAAAGGUGGGAUGUGACCGUAUGCUCCAGACGCCCAGCGCGUGGGGUGUUUGACCUGGGGCGAACAUGCUGGGGGCAGAACUGGGGGCACGGUGCCAUCCUCAGGUCCGGCAUCUGCCUCUGCGUUUUGGAGCCAGAGUUCGACACAGUGAUGAUCUUUUAAACGAGCAGUAGGUAACACAUCUAUCUUUGUGUGAAGUGAUACUGUGAAAGUCUGUCUCUGGGUUCGUUGCAGACCAUGCGGUGGGUUAACGUAAAGGUUCAUUAUGUGAAAAUGUCUCCUACCUGGGAUCAGCCUCGUUUUUGUCCAGUAGCCCCCUGCUUCUCACACAUGGGGAGACAACAGUGGCACUGUGGGAUGAGGUAGUAGGUUGUAUAGUUUUAGGGUCAUACCCACACUGGGAGAUAACUAUACAUCCUACUGUCUUUCUCAAAGUGGCGGCAAUUCUUCUGAAUCCGUUGGAGCCUCCUACUGCCUGUGAAUGGGUUCUGCAAAAAUAUACAAUUAAUAUAUGCUCUGUACGGUAUGUAUGUAUUUAUCUAUGUAAAUAUUUGUUCAGUUCAGUGCAUGUGAUCUUUUUUUUCCACACAAAUUCACUAAAAUAUUGUCCCAAAUGCUCAGGCAGUGUGAGGUAGUAGAUUGUAUAGUUGUAGGGUAGUGAUUUUGCCCUGUUUGGAAGAUAACUAUACAAUCUAUUGCCUUCCCUGAGGAGCAGAGAAGCAUCUCUCCCAUCUGUACUUUUUUGCUCCAGUAGUGUUCUGCUGAUUACACAGUGUCAACCAUCUUUAGUUCCAGUUUCUUCACAUCCUUGUUCAGAGAGACACGCACGGGCAACGUGAGAAAAGAUAUAAAUUUGCAUGCAGGACGGUGGACAACAGCCAGUCAGUGCAUCCUUGUGAAUAACUUGAAUACACCAGCUUGUUGAUAAGCCCGCUGUAGGCGCAUGUGAGGGAUGGUCAGUUGGGCAAAUUAGUGUAAGUCCAGUUACAGAAGUGCUACUGAAAUGAGUAACUGGGUUUGAAAAGUCCAAAGAGAUGAGGAUUUAGCCCGCGGUGGAGAAACGUAGGAAUCGUGCUAAUUGCUCGUGCUUAUUCCAGUCGGGAGCCAGAACAGGGACGGCACGGCGGAGGGCGACCUUCAUGCAGUGGCCGGCCUCUGGGUGCAGCCCAUCGACAAGGUUGGGUGUUUUUACUGCACUCAGUAGAGGUCAUGUGGAGAAAACAAGAAAAAGAGGAGGCAAGGGCGAGUCACAUAUUGCGUCUGACUUCAAAUGGAGUGCAGUGAAUUAGAGCCUCGCGGCCAGGUCUGGCUGUGGGUAGCUGGGUGUGACUCUCUCCGGCUGGGAGCACAGCUCUGACUACAGCAUUAGCACAAAGGUACGACCUUGACGCGCCUCUCUCUCUCUCUCUCUCUCUCGCUAUCUCUCUCCCUCUCCCACACCUUCCUCUGCACAGAGCACCCAUAAUCUACUUCAGCACACUUGUGUUCUCAGAAAACCGGUCAUGUUCACAGGACAACGAGGCACAGAGGCUGGCUAAUGGUCAGACGAUUGACAUGGGGACCCCUGGGUAGAGGUAGCAGAUUGUAUAGUUGCAGGGCAGAGAUUUUGCCCCAGUGGUGAUAACUAUACAAGCUGCUGCCUUUCUUAGGGGUCCACGAAGGCAGCACGUCUGACUCACCCCUGCUCCAGAGGACCACGUGUGAUGUGAGAUAUAUGUAAAUAUAUAUGAAUGCCCUGGGGCAGCCAUUCCGGGUGGCUUUGCCAAGUCUCCCCAGUCCCUUAAUUUUGGCUUAAUUUCUCUUAGUAAUGUUUUGAAAUAUAAGGGUAGUGCACAUUAAAGCAUUGUUUGCCCUCACUAUAAAUUAACCAAACUUCAGGAUAGCUGACGUCACCUAGCAUGCAUCGUGCAGUUACUGCUACACUGGACCGACAGACAUGGCGCAGGACUGUAAAGAAGGACUCAGUGUGAAUUGUGGUGAAGUGUUGUGUGCAUGCCAUGUCAGGUUUGUCUUGUUUUCAUUAAUAAACAUCAGUACGGCUUGAA